AGGAUCAUUAUCGAAACCCGAACGUCCGAGAGGGGGAAACCCCCCUUCCGGGCUUUCGAACCCUUUCAACACCCUUGUGCACUCGCUGUAGGUCCCUCGGGAUCUACGUCUCCCUUCGAACUCGCAUGUCUACAGAAUGUAUGCCUCGUGUCUCGGCCUCGACCCCCAGGGUCCCGCGUCGAAGACCGUGAAAUCAAUACAACUUUCAGCAACGGAUCUCUUGGCUCUCGCAUCGAUGAAGAACGCAGCGAAUCGCGAUAAGUAAUGUGAAUUGCAGAAUUCAGUGAAUCAUCGAAUCUUUGAACGCAUAUUGCGCUCUUUGGUAUUCCGAAGAGCAUGCUUGUUUGAGUAUCAGUAAACACCUCAACCUCCUCUUGUUUUUUUCAAAAGGAGGGUGGACUUGAGCUAUCCCAACAACCUUCACCGGUAGGCGGGCGGCUUGAAAUGCAGGUGCAGCUGGACUUUUAUCUGAGCUAAAAGCAUAUCUAUUUAGUCCUCGUCAAACAGGAUUAUUACUUUUGCUGCAGCUAACAUAAAGGAUAAUUGUCCUCUUUGCUGACUGAUGCAGGAUUUUACGACACUUUAUGUGUUGUUCAACUCGAUCUCAAAUCAAGUAAGACUACCCGCUGAACUUAA
RNAcentral lists this ribosomal RNA (636 nucleotides) under uncultured fungus. RNAcentral describes it as "eukaryotic LSU rRNA". The stretch from base 201 to 354 matches the Rfam family "5.8S ribosomal RNA". Lineage: Eukaryota; Fungi. The record is from RNAcentral.